CAAGUCGAACGAGUUCUGAUUAUUGAAAGGUGCUUGCAUCUUGAUUUAAUUUUGAACGAGUGGCGGACGGGUGAGUAACACGUGGGUAACCUGCCCUUAAGUGGGGGAUAACAUUUGGAAACAGAUGCUAAUACCGCAUAAAUCCAAGAACCGCAUGGUUCUUGGCUGAAAGAUGGCGUAAGCUAUCGCUUUUGGAUGGACCCGCGGCGUAUUAGCUAGUUGGUGAGGUAACGGCUCACCAAGGCAAUGAUACGUAGCCGAACUGAGAGGUUGAUCGGCCACAUUGGGACUGAGACACGGCCCAAACUCCUACGGGAGGCAGCAGUAGGGAAUCUUCCACAAUGGACGCAAGUCUGAUGGAGCAACGCCGCGUGAGUGAAGAAGGCUUUCGGGUCGUAAAACUCUGUUGUUGGAGAAGAAUGGUCGGCAGAGUAACUGUUGUCGGCGUGACGGUAUCCAACCAGAAAGCCACGGCUAACUACGUGCCAGCAGCCGCGGUAAUACGUAGGUGGCAAGCGUUAUCCGGAUUUAUUGGGCGUAAAGCGAGCGCAGGCGGUUUUUUAAGUCUGAUGUGAAAGCCCUCGGCUUAACCGAGGAAGUGCAUCGGAAACUGGGAAACUUGAGUGCAGAAGAGGACAGUGGAACUCCAUGUGUAGCGGUGAAAUGCGUAGAUAUAUGGAAGAACACCAGUGGCGAAGGCGGCUGUCUGGUCUGUAACUGACGCUGAGGCUCGAAAGCAUGGGUAGCGAACAGGAUUAGAUACCCUGGUAGUCCAUGCCGUAAACGAUGAAUGCUAGGUGUUGGAGGGUUUCCGCCCUUCAGUGCCGCAGCUAACGCAUUAAGCAUUCCGCCUGGGGAGUACGACCGCAAGGUUGAAACUCAAAGGAAUUGACGGGGGCCCGCACAAGCGGUGGAGCAUGUGGUUUAAUUCGAAGCACGCGAAGACCUUACCGGUC
RNAcentral lists this ribosomal RNA (956 nucleotides) under Lacticaseibacillus rhamnosus. Its description in RNAcentral is "bacterial SSU rRNA". It matches the Rfam family "Bacterial small subunit ribosomal RNA", at positions 58 to 979 of the family's 1533-position model. Lineage: Bacteria; Bacillati; Bacillota; Bacilli; Lactobacillales; Lactobacillaceae. The record is from RNAcentral.